CAGACAUAUUACUUGUAAUUCAGGCACGAACCAGCUUGCUCACUGGAUGGAAUGUUCUACAUUAGUCUUUAGAGUAUGUUGGCUUUGCUAUAUAAUCCUAAUGACAAUGAUGAUAUUCAUCAUCAUAAUUUUGAUUGGACAAACAAUACAUUAUUUUACAUAUAUGGCAGUAUUAAUCUAAAACAUAUGAUGCUUGUUGAUUUUCAGUAUAAAUUGUCUGAAAUACUCUAUCCUAUGUGUCUUUAAAAUGAUUGGUAUUUUCUUCAAGCCCAAUAACCUUUCAAAGUAUCUUGGAGUGAAGUUGAUUUUAAUUUAGUCCAUAAAGCUUGUCAAUGUUAGGU
Molecule: non-coding RNA, 341 nt
Organism: Pelobates cultripes (western spadefoot toad)
Lineage: Eukaryota; Metazoa; Chordata; Amphibia; Anura; Pelobatidae
Source: the annotation of a GenBank genome assembly